CUAUACAUGCAGUCGAGCGCGGGAAGCGAGUGGAUCCCUUCGGGGUGAAGCUCGUGGAACGAGCGGCGGACGGGUGAGUAACACGUGGGCAACCUGCCUGUAAGAUCGGAAUAACCCCGGGAAACCGGGGCUAAUGCCGGGUAAUACUUUCUUUCGCAUGAAGGAAAGUUGAAAGAUGGCUUCUUGCUAUCACUUACAGAUGGGCCCGCGGCGCAUUAGCUAGUUGGUGAGGUAACGGCUCACCAAGGCGACGAUGCGUAGCCGACCUGAGAGGGUGAUCGGCCACACUGGGACUGAGACACGGCCCAGACUCCUACGGGAGGCAGCAGUAGGGAAUCUUCCGCAAUGGACGAAAGUCUGACGGAGCAACGCCGCGUGAACGAUGAAGGUCUUCGGAUCGUAAAGUUCUGUUGUUAGGGAAGAACAAGUACCGUGCGAAUAGAGCGGUACCUUGACGGUACCUAACGAGGAAGCCCCGGCUAACUACGUGCCAGCAGCCGCGGUAAUACGUAGGGGGCAAGCGUUGUCCGGAAUUAUUGGGCGUAAAGCGCGCGCAGGCGGUUCCUUAAGUCUGAUGUGAAAGCCCACGGCUCAACCGUGGAGGGUCAUUGGAAACUGGGGAACUUGAGGACAGAAGAGGAGAGUGGAAUUCCACGUGUAGCGGUGAAAUGCGUAGAUAUGUGGAGGAACACCAGUGGCGAAGGCGACUCUCUGGUCUGUUUCUGACGCUGAGGUGCGAAAGCGUGGGUAGCAAACAGGAUUAGAUACCCUGGUAGUCCACGCCGUAAACGAUGAGUGCUAGGUGUUAGGGGGCUUCCACCCC
Molecule: ribosomal RNA, 823 nt
Filed under: Halobacillus sp.
Lineage: Bacteria; Bacillati; Bacillota; Bacilli; Caryophanales; Bacillaceae
Description: bacterial SSU rRNA
Rfam family: Bacterial small subunit ribosomal RNA
Source: RNAcentral